GUGAUGAUGAAUCAGACGUUCAACAUCAUCAGCCUUCAAUUCCCAGAGUUCGAAACGCUGGACUGGAUUGCAUGGUUCGAAGUAAAGCUGAUUCCCAUCCUCCCCAGUUUUAAUGAAGUCAUGCUCACCAUUGCUACCUCAAACGUCAACUGCACCAACUACCAAGUCAUUGUAAAUGGAAUGGACAGAGCUUUCCCUGAAAUGACUCAGGAUAGAAGAGAAGGAAUCGCAAGAGUCCUGCUGAAAUACCUGAGGAAAUCUGUGCACCUCAUCAAUGGACCAGCUUGCAGGCAGGACAUCCACGAUGACAAUGACUGGCUUGCAAUCAACCUGGGUUCAUACUCCGAGUACACAACCUAUUCGGAUCUCAAAGACUUCAACAUCUCAGGGGUGGCAGUUCUAGACUCCCUCUCACCAAACCAGAAAGCUGAAUUGAUACUGGACCCAAGCACUGGCGCUCUGGAGAAUGAGACUCUUGCGAAGAACAUUUUCAUCAGCUUGCUGGAAUCUCCAAGGGAAGAGCAGCUCAAUGAGUUCUUUGUGACUUUUGUUGAAGUCACCAAGCAGGAAAACAUCACUAUCAUCACAAACACAGCCGUAAGAGACACAAUGCUAGACCUGACCUUGAUGGCUCUUGCUCCCAAAUUCGACGUUUUUGAGCCAAAAGACUUCCAGCUGUGGUUCCAAGUCAAUCUGGUUGUUCUGCUGGCCAGCUUCCAUCCUGGCAG
Molecule: long non-coding RNA, 728 nt
Organism: Oncorhynchus tshawytscha (Chinook salmon)
Lineage: Eukaryota; Metazoa; Chordata; Actinopteri; Salmoniformes; Salmonidae
Source: Ensembl